RNAcentral lists this ribosomal RNA (240 nucleotides) under uncultured eukaryote. RNAcentral's name for it is "partial 18S ribosomal RNA". It matches the Rfam family "Eukaryotic small subunit ribosomal RNA", at positions 1208 to 1456 of the family's 1831-position model. The record is from RNAcentral.
AGAAAUCUCACCAGGCCCGGACACUGGAAGGAAUGACAGAUUGAUAGCUCUUCCUUGAUUCGGUGGGUGGUGGUGCAUGGCCGUUCUUAGUUGGUGGAGCGAUCUGUCUGGUUAAUUCCGAUAACGAACGAGACCCCAACCUGCUAACUAGCCCUCGGGUCCUGCUUCUGUUGGGCCCGACGGAAUGAUUCGCUUCUUAGAGGGACUCGCGGCGCCUAGCCGCACGAAGGGGGGCGAUAA